AUUAAUUUGCCUUGCCCUCCUCAGACCCAGGCCAUACAAAUGAAUAAAAUAAUAAUUAAUAGUUUAAAAAUCACUAGAAGAACACUCUUUUAUAAAUGUGUUUCCGGAUCGUGUUCAAAGUCUAUUACGUGAGUUUGGGCACCAAAAAAAAAUACGUGUCCGUUAUUUUAGACUACUCUAUAACAUAUAUAAAUAUAAAUCAAAUCGGAACCAGACAGUUUGGUACCUUUCCUUUACCCCUAGUGUAAAUAAAUUCGAUUUCGAAACGUGACGUACGCGUUUGCGUUUAGUCUCAUUUUGUAUUGGAUUUAGAAAGAGCGCGCCAAGCGGGACGUUUUGGAAACUCAAAAUCCUAUACAAAAUGAGACUUAACGCAAACGCGUUCGUCACGUUAUGAUGUCGAUCAAAUUUACACUAGGGGUACAGGUCAGUUCUUCAAUGGAAUUCCGCUUGGCGCCCGUAGAAUGAAAUGAAGUAGAUUUAAAUACUUAUUUAAUAGCCCAACUCCCAUGUUUCAUGGUUUUGGGUUAAUUUUGACGCAUGUCCCUUUUUCGUUCGAUAGUAGUCAUUUUAAAAUUGUUACUGUGUAUAAUAAUCUGUCGUAUUUAUUUGUCAGACGACACACCAGCGCCGCCGGGCCCGUCCGGUUUUAGAGUGCCACGCUCGCCGCCCUCUGAAAGCAACGACACACCAGCGCCGCCGGGCCCGUCCGGUUUCAGAGUGCCACGCCCGCCGCCCUCUGAAAGCAGUGAGUAUAUUUACCAUAUAGAUAAAUACGAGUAAAAAUUUUUUUACAGUACAUAUGGUGCUACUUUACCGCACUAGUGCGCAAAUUAGCAUAUUACGUUACUGUGUCAAACAUUUAAAGGUCCAUAUGUACUGUAAAACGUUGUACGAUACAUGUGCGAAUAGAUAAUUCGCAACUCGUGUCGAUUUAAAACACUCCCUUCGGUCGUGUUUUAAUUUAUCACCACUCGUUUCGAAUUUCCUAUUUUUCGCACUUGUAUCGUAAUGUACUAUUUUUUACAAAAGCUUUUAUUUAACUGCUCUAAAAAGAAGAAAAUAAAAUUUUCCUUUAAAAUUUUAAUCAUCAACUUACGAGUAUAACCUCAUUAUACACAAUUUAUAUGUUCAAGCUUGUCGGGGCAAAAGGGCAUUCCAUACAUUAAAUAAUAAAAUCAACAUGUUUUUUGAUUAAAUGAAUACUUUUGAAAAUAAUUGGCUAC
Long non-coding RNA from Cydia pomonella (codling moth), 1226 nucleotides. RefSeq lists it as uncharacterized. The transcript is spliced from 2 exons. NCBI's taxonomy places the organism in Eukaryota, Metazoa, Arthropoda, Insecta, Lepidoptera, Tortricidae. The record is from RefSeq and is a predicted model, not a curated record.